RNAcentral lists this ribosomal RNA (377 nucleotides) under uncultured bacterium. Its description in RNAcentral is "bacterial SSU rRNA". It matches the Rfam family "Bacterial small subunit ribosomal RNA", at positions 335 to 690 of the family's 1533-position model. The record is from RNAcentral.
ACUCCUACGGGAGGCAGCAGUGGGGAAUAUUGCACAAUGGGCGCAAGCCUGAUGCAGCCAUGCCGCGUGUAUGAAGAAGGGCCUUCGGGUUGAUAAAGUACUUUCAGCAGUGAGGAAGGUGGAUAUGUUAAUAGCAUAUUUUAAUUUUGGAACCGUUUUAAGCUGCAGAAGAAGCACCGGCUAACUCCGUGCCAGCAGCCGCGGUAAUACGGAGGGUGCGAGCGUUAAUCGGAAUUACUGGGCGUAAAGCGCAUGCAGGUGGUUUGUUAAGUCAGAUGUGAAAGCCCGGGGCUCAACCUCGGAAUUGCAUUUGAAACUGGCAAAGGCUUAGAGUACUGUAGAGGGGGGUAGAAUUUCAGGUGUAGCGGUGAAAUGCG